GACGAACGCUGGCGGCGUGCCUAAUACAUGCAAGUUGAGCGAUGAAGAUUGGUGCUUGCACCAAUUUGAAGAGCAGCGAACGGGUGAGUAACGCGUGGGGAAUCUGCCUUUGAGCGGGGGACAACAUUUGGAAACGAAUGCUAAUACCGCAUAACAACUUUAACCUUAGUUUUAAGUUUGAAAGAUUCCAUUGCAUCACUUAAAGAUUAUUCCGCGUUGUAUUAGCUAGUUGGUGAGGUAAAGGCUCACCAAGGCGAUGAUACAUAGCCGACCUGAGAGGGUGAUCGGCCACAUUGGGACUGAGACACGGCCCAAACUCCUACGGGAGGCAGCAGUAGGGAAUCUUCGGCAAUGGACGAAAGUCUGACCGAGCAACGCCGCGUGAGUGAAGAAGGUUGUCGGAUCGUAAAACUCGGUUGGUAGAGAAGAACGUUGGUGAGAGUGGAAAGCUCAUCAAGUGACGGUAACUACCCAGAAAGGGACGGCUAACUACGUG
Molecule: ribosomal RNA, 496 nt
Filed under: uncultured bacterium
Lineage: Bacteria
Description: partial 16S ribosomal RNA
Rfam family: Bacterial small subunit ribosomal RNA
Source: RNAcentral